CUAAUGUGGACUUACACGCCUUAUCAACCACUGCCCCUUUUAAAACUCUCUUGUGCCUGAGGUUCCGCUUCCUUCGAAAGAAUUGACACUAACUGCGAGUACUUGCUUUCGCACCCCAAGGCGUCCUAAUCUAUGUGCCAUCAGGUGCGUCAGGGAAAGGAUGAGCUAUAACGCUAUAUGCCAGUCACAGAUUCGC
RNAcentral lists this ribosomal RNA (196 nucleotides) under uncultured bacterium. RNAcentral's name for it is "partial 16S ribosomal RNA". The record is from RNAcentral.